AGUAGGAGGACGACAAAUCAGAUUUUUCCUCCUGAUUUUUAGCUUUUUAAAAAUGCUAAAAAUCAGGAGAAAAAAUCUGAUUUAUCAUUCUUUUAUU
This is a non-coding RNA of Gossypium hirsutum (cotton), 97 nucleotides long. The record is from Rfam. NCBI's taxonomy places the organism in Eukaryota, Viridiplantae, Streptophyta, Magnoliopsida, Malvales, Malvaceae.